RNAcentral lists this ribosomal RNA (775 nucleotides) under uncultured Neocallimastigales. Its description in RNAcentral is "partial large subunit ribosomal RNA". It matches the Rfam family "Eukaryotic large subunit ribosomal RNA", at positions 22 to 646 of the family's 3401-position model. Lineage: Eukaryota; Fungi; Neocallimastigomycota; Neocallimastigomycetes; Neocallimastigales. The record is from RNAcentral.
GUACACGCUGUGACUAGCAUAUCAAUAAGCGGAGGAAAAGAAACUAACAAGGAUUCCCUCAGUAACGGCGAGUGAAGCGGGAAGAGCUCAAAUUUGAAAUCUUGAAAGGGUUCACCUUUCACGAAUUGUAGUUUAAAGAAGUGUUUUCUGUUACGAUCGUAAUAUAAGUUCUUUGGAAUAGGACAUCACAGAGGGUGAGAAUCCCGUCUAUGAUUGCGAUUUGUAGCUUUGUGAUACACUUUCAAAGAGUCGGGUUGUUUGGGAAUGCAGCCCAAAACGGGAGGUAAAUUUCUUCUAAGGCUAAAUAUUGGCGAGAGACCGAUAGCGAACAAGUACCGUGAGGGAAAGAUGAAAAGAACUUUGAAAAGAGAGUUAAACUAGUACGUGAAAUUGUCAAAAGGGAAGCGUUUAACACCAGUGUUGUUUUCUGAAAAUCAACCUCUGUUAGCUUUAUGCAUGUUUGUUUAGACCUAAUCAGCUAUCUUGCAUGUUCUAUUGUUUGCAGUGGUGCACUUUUCAGUUUACAGGUCAACAUCAGUUUUUUUUACCGUAAAAAAGUUAAAGAAAGGUAGCUCAUGGCUCCGGUCGUGAGUGUUAUAGUCUUUUUCCUAUGCGGUAGGAGAGACUGAGGUCUGCAGUGUAGGCUAUUUGGCUAGAUACUCAGGUGCUAUGUGAUACCAUUUCAUAAACAACUUGUUGAUUAUGUUUUGUCCAUUGCAUACUCGCUUGUACUAUCAUACCUACGCUUAGGAUGUUGACGCAUGAGAUAUACGCG